Molecule: ribosomal RNA, 497 nt
Filed under: uncultured bacterium
Lineage: Bacteria
Description: partial 16S ribosomal RNA
Rfam family: Bacterial small subunit ribosomal RNA
Source: RNAcentral
GAUGAACGCUGGCGGCGUGCCUAAUACAUGCAAGUCGAGCGAACGGACGAGAAGCUUGCUUGUCUGAUGUUAGCGGCGGACGGGGGAGUAACACGUGGAUAAGCUACCUAUAAGACUGGGAUAACUUCGGGAAACCGGCGCUAAUACCGGAUAAUAUUUUGAACCGCAUGGUUCAAAAGUGAAAGACGGUCUUGCUGUCACUUAUAGAUGGAUCCGCGCUGCAUUAGGUAGUUGGUAAGGUAACGGCUUACCAAGGCAACGAGGCAAAGCCGACACGAGAGGGAGAUCGAGCACCCGGGAUCUGAGAAACAGCAGCGACUCCUACGCGAGGACGCAGUAGGGAAUCUUCCGCGAUGGAGGAGUGCCUGAUGGAGCAACGCCGCGUGAGUGAUGAAGCUGCUCGGCUCGGAAAGCGCUGUAAUUAGGGGAGAACAUAUGUGUAAUUAACUGUGACGAUAUUGACGGUACCGAAGCAAUAAGCCCCGGCUAACUACGUG